Molecule: ribosomal RNA, 252 nt
Filed under: uncultured bacterium
Lineage: Bacteria
Description: partial 16S ribosomal RNA
Rfam family: Bacterial small subunit ribosomal RNA
Source: RNAcentral
UACGUAGGGGGCAAGCGUUAUCCGGAUUUACUGGGUGUAAAGGGGGCGCAGACGGCGAUGCAAGCCAGGAGUGAAAGCCCGGGGCCCAACCCCGGGACUGCUCUGGAACUGCGUGGCUGGAGUGCAGGAGGGGCAGGCGGAAUUCCUGGUGUAGCGGUGAAAUGCGUAGAUAUCAGGAGGGACACCGGUGGCGAAGGCGGCCUGCUGGACUGCAACUGACGUUGAGGCCCGAAAGCGUGGGGAGCAAACAGG